This 629-nucleotide ribosomal RNA is filed under the name uncultured bacterium. RNAcentral's name for it is "bacterial SSU rRNA". It matches the Rfam family "Bacterial small subunit ribosomal RNA", at positions 94 to 697 of the family's 1533-position model. The record is from RNAcentral.
AGUGGCGGACGGGUGAGUAACGCGUGGGAACAUACCCAAAGGUACGGAAUAGCCUCGGGAAACUGAGAGUAAUACCGUAUGUGCCCCCCCAAUCAAAUUUCAUUUGAUUGAAACUUUCAAUCUAUCAAAUCUCGAAUGAGAUUUGAUGGGGGGGGAAAGAUUUAUCGCCUUUGGAUUGGCCCGCGUUGGAUUAGGUAGUUGGUGGGGUAAUGGCCUACCAAGCCGACGAUCCAUAGCUGGUUUGAGAGGAUGAUCAGCCACACUGGGACUGAGACACGGCCCAGACUCCUACGGGAGGCAGCAGUGGGGAAUCUUAGACAAUGGGGGAAACCCUGAUCUAGCCAUGCCGCGUGAUCGAUGAAGGCCUUAGGGUUGUAAAGAUCUUUCAGAUGGGAAGAUAAUGACGGUACCAUCAGAAGAAGCCCCGGCUAACUCCGUGCCAGCAGCCGCGGUAAUACGGAGGGGGCUAGCGUUAUUCGGAAUUACUGGGCGUAAAGCGCACGUAGGCGGAUCAGAAAGUCAGAGGUGAAAUCCCAGGGCUCAACCUUGGAACUGCCUUUGAAACUCCUGGUCUUGAGGUCGAGAGAGGUGAGUGGAAUUCCGAGUGUAGAGGUGAAAUUCGUAGAUAU